GAUGAACGCUGGCGGCGUGCCUAAUACAUGCAAGUCGAGCGAACGGACGAGAAGCUUGCUUCUCUGAUGCUAGCGGCGGACGGGGGAGUAACACGUGGACAACCUACCUAUAAGACUGGAAUAACUUCGGGAAACCGUAGCUAAUACCGGUUAAUAUUAUGAACCGCAUGGUUCAUAAGUGAAAGACGGUCUUGCUGUCACUUAUAUAUGUAUCCUCGGUGCAUUAGCUAGUUGGUAAGGUACCGGCUUACCAAGGCAACGAUGCAUAGCCGACCUGAGAGGAUGGGUGGCCACACUGAGACUGAGACACGCUACAGGCUCCUAGGGGAGGCAGCAGUAGGGCAUCUUCCGGAAGCGGCGGAAGCCUGACGGAGCAACGCCGAGUGAGUGAUGAAGGUCUUCGGAUCGUAAAACUCUGUUAUUCGGGAAGAAAAUAUGUGUAAGUAACUGUGCACAUCUUGACGGUACCUAAUCAGAAAGCCACGGCUAACUACGUG
This 497-nucleotide ribosomal RNA is filed under the name uncultured bacterium. Its description in RNAcentral is "partial 16S ribosomal RNA". It matches the Rfam family "Bacterial small subunit ribosomal RNA", at positions 28 to 507 of the family's 1533-position model. The record is from RNAcentral.